UACAGAGGGUGCGAGCGUUAAUCGGAAUUACUGGGCGUAAAGCGCACGUAGGUGGCGACGUAAGUCGGGUGUGAAAGCCCCGGGCUCAACCUGGGAAUUGCAUUCGAGACUGCAUUGCUGGAGUACGGAAGAGGAAGGCGGAAUUCCCGGUGUAGCGGUGAAAUGCGUAGAUAUCUGGAGGAAUACCGGUGGCGAAGGCGGCAUCCUGGACCGGCAUUGACGCUGAGGAGCGAAAGCCAGGGGAGCAAACGGG
RNAcentral lists this ribosomal RNA (253 nucleotides) under uncultured bacterium. RNAcentral's name for it is "partial 16S ribosomal RNA". It matches the Rfam family "Bacterial small subunit ribosomal RNA", at positions 524 to 776 of the family's 1533-position model. The record is from RNAcentral.